This 253-nucleotide ribosomal RNA is filed under the name uncultured bacterium. Its description in RNAcentral is "partial 16S ribosomal RNA". It matches the Rfam family "Bacterial small subunit ribosomal RNA", at positions 524 to 776 of the family's 1533-position model. The record is from RNAcentral.
UACGAAGGAUGCAAGCGUUAUCCGGAUUCAUUGGGUUUAAAGGGUGCGUAGGCGGACUUGUAAGUCAGUGGUGAAAUCUCUCAGCUUAACUGAGAAACUGCCAUUGAUACUGCAGGUCUAGAGUAUAGAAGACGUUGGCGGAAUAUGACAUGUAGUGGUGAAAUACUUAGAUAUGUCAUAGAACACCGAUUGCGAAGGCAGCUAACGAAACUAUAACUGACGCUGAGGCACGAAAGUGCGGGGAUCAAACAGG